GGUCUGACUGGAUUGAUAACUUUGGAUCUCUUUGGAGCUCGUAUCAUUGACUCUGGUACUACAUAUUUACGACGUUUCUCGGGCUAGUUCGACGUACAACGCUCAUUCUCUGCGUUUUCUUGAGUUCGGUAAAAUCCGAGCUUAAUUAAGACAUGGAUAAGACAUGGAUGAAUUCAAACCGAUUGUCGAAAGAGUACGAGAAAGGGGUAUGGGAAUUCGUUAAGUUUGCGAUUGCACACGCCGAAGACCCGAUUCGAAUGACGUGUCCUUGCUUGGGUUGCUGUUAUGGGGGUAAGGUUGACGGGAAUCAGUUGGCAUCGCAUUUACUACGGUUUGGAAUUGAUAGAAGUUAUACAUGUUGGAAUUUGCAUGGUGAGAAA
This is a long non-coding RNA of Vicia villosa (hairy vetch), 380 nucleotides long. RefSeq lists it as uncharacterized. The transcript is spliced from 3 exons. NCBI's taxonomy places the organism in Eukaryota, Viridiplantae, Streptophyta, Magnoliopsida, Fabales, Fabaceae. The record is from RefSeq and is a predicted model, not a curated record.